AUUGAACGCUGGCGGCAUGCCUUACACAUGCAAGUCGAACGGCAGCAUGAUCUAGCUUGCUAGAUUGAUGGCGAGUGGCGAACGGGUGAGUAAUACAUCGGAACGUGCCCUGUAGUGGGGGAUAACUAGUCGAAAGAUUAGCUAAUACCGCAUACGACCUGAGGGUGAAAGUGGGGGACCGCAAGGCCUCAUGCUAUAGGAGCGGCCGAUGUCUGAUUAGCUAGUUGGUGAGGUAAAGGCUCACCAAGGCGACGAUCAGUAGCUAGUCUGAGAGGACGAUCAGCCACACUGGGACUGAGACAUGGCCCAGACUCCUACGGGAGGCAGCAGUGGGGAAUUUUGGACAAUGGGCGAAAGCCUGAUCCAGCAAUGCCGCGUGUGUGAAGAAGGCCUUCGGGUUGUAAAGCACUUUUGUCCGGAAAGAAAUGGCUCUGGUUAAUACCUGGGGUCGAUGACGGUACCGGAAGAAUAAGGACCGGCUAACUACGUG
RNAcentral lists this ribosomal RNA (490 nucleotides) under uncultured bacterium. Its description in RNAcentral is "partial 16S ribosomal RNA". It matches the Rfam family "Bacterial small subunit ribosomal RNA", at positions 30 to 507 of the family's 1533-position model. The record is from RNAcentral.